UUUGUUUUUGUACCAAUACCAUACUAUCUUCAUGACAACAGCUUUGUAAGAUAGCCUGAAAUCCAGAAUCGCAAUGCUUCCAGUUUUAUUUUUCUUUUUCAGGAUUGCUUUGGCCAUUCAGGGUCUUUCGUGGUUCCAUGCAAAUUUUAGUAUUGUUUGGUGUAGCUCUGCGAAAAAUGCUGGUGGUAUUUUGAUGGAGAUUGAAUUCAUCCUAAACAUUUUAAGUGUUGUGUUGUAACUUGAAUUCCGAGUCUGAUAUAUUUUUUAAAAACUGAUUUCUCAGUGAAACUCAUUAGUCUACUUUUAUAUGACACCUCAUUUCUAACAGACUCUGGGAAGAAUACACCAUGAUAGGUUUGGGAAGGAAGAAAUAUAUUGUGCAGAACUUUUCAUACCUCAGAAAACAGAAGGAACACAUAAACUAGUUCUUAGAGGGGCCUCCAGGGGACGAUGCUGCACAAAGUAGAGAUCUUGUUGCUCAACAUCAUCUGCUCACGCCCUCCCCCCUGCAGCUGGCUGAGUUCUUUGCAGACAGAGACAGGGACAAGAAUCAUCCGUCAGAAAGCUCCAGGCUCAUCUCAGCAGCUUUUGCAUUUUUAUCUCAGCAAGGAACCUGUCCAAAUUUACUUUCUCCACCCUUCUUAUAUCCGAGGGCUUGGUUUCCUCAGCCAGUUUCUUGUCUGCUCAGGGGGAGAUUUUCCUGAGAAGAGCCACUGCCUUUCUACUGCUCGGCCAUGUUCCUGUUGCUUAUCUCAACACUGGGGAUAUUUGCCCCGCGAGACACUGGAGCCCAGUCAGUGACGCAGCCUGAUGUCCAUGUCACUGUCUCUGAAGGAGCCCCUCUGGAGCUGAGGUGCAACUAUUCCUCAAGUGGAACUCCUUAUCUCUUCUGGUACAUGCAGCACCCCAACCAAGGACUCCAGUUUCUACUGAAGUACUUUUCAGGGGACACCCUGGUUAAAGGCAUCAAAGGUUUUGAGGCUGAAUUUAAGAAGCAUGAAACCACCUUCCACCUGAGGAAAUCCCGAGCGCUUGGCAGCGAUGCGGCCAACUACUUCUGUGCUGUGCGUGACACAGUGUCUGGGACUGCAGGGGGAGCUGAACACAAACCACCAUGGUAGGGGAGUUUUUGGAGACUGACGGUCUCUUCCUGUGGUAUUAUCAGAGAUCUCUUGCUGUAUGAUGACAAAUGAGGCAAAUAGAGCUGAGCAGACUCAGCUAUUUCUAUAUAAUUCUACAACUCCAUGUCUGAUAAACUUAAUUUAGCAGGUUUUUGGUCUUUGUAGAAACUACAUGACAAUAAAUAGUAUUACAGAAUGAUGGAGAAGAUAGUGUUCUGGUCAUACAAUACCAAGAUGCUCAAAGACUGGCCUUGAGGUUGACCGCCUACGAGGUUAACUAUAUGAGUUUUCAUUUAUCAUUUCUUCUGUCAGCCAACCCAGAAAACAAAACACGAACUCCUCA
This is a non-coding RNA of Felis catus (domestic cat), 1464 nucleotides long. The record is from the annotation of a RefSeq genome assembly. NCBI's taxonomy places the organism in Eukaryota, Metazoa, Chordata, Mammalia, Carnivora, Felidae.